AGAGUUUGAUCAUGGCUCAGGAUGAACGCUAGCUACAGGCUUAACACAUGCAAGUCGAGGGGCAGCAUGAAGGUAGCUUGCUACCUUGAUGGCGACCGGCGCACGGGUGCGUAACACGUAUCCAACCUGCCCGUUACUCGGGGAUAGCCUUUCGAAAGAAAGAUUAAUACCCGAUGGUUUCGCAUCACCGCAUGACGGUGCGAAUAAAGAUUCAUCGGUAACGGAUGGGGAUGCGUCCGAUUAGCUUGUUGGCGGGGUAACGGCCCACCAAGGCGACGACCGGUAGGGGCUCUGAGAGGAGGGUCCCCCACAUUGGAACUGAGACACGGUCCAAACUCCUACGGGAGGCAGCAGUGAGGAAUAUUGGUCAAUGGGCGAGAGCCUGAACCAGCCAAGUAGCCGUGAGGGACGACUGCCCUAUGGGUUGUAAACCUCUUUUGUUUGGGAAUAAAGUGGGCCACGCGUGGCUUUUUGUAUGUACCUUACGAAUAAGCAUCGGCUAAUUCCGUGCCAGCCGCUGC
Molecule: ribosomal RNA, 521 nt
Filed under: uncultured bacterium
Lineage: Bacteria
Description: bacterial SSU rRNA
Rfam family: Bacterial small subunit ribosomal RNA
Source: RNAcentral